Xenia sp. Carnegie-2017 is the source of this 210-nucleotide long non-coding RNA. RefSeq lists it as uncharacterized. NCBI's taxonomy places the organism in Eukaryota, Metazoa, Cnidaria, Anthozoa, Malacalcyonacea, Xeniidae. The record is from RefSeq and is a predicted model, not a curated record. The transcript is spliced from 2 exons.
AAGGUAAACAUAAAGGUAGACAUAAAAGUAGGCAUAAAGGUAGACAUAAAGGUAGACAUAAAGGUAGACACAAAGUAGCAUAGCUGUAGGUUUCUUCCAUGCAAUGUAAAUGAAUUCAUUUGCUACACAGUAUGCCAUAUGUACAAUGUAAGUAGAAAUAUAAUUUAUGAAAGGUUGUACUCAAUGAAUAGAUCAGUAGUUAUUCAUUUA